Molecule: ribosomal RNA, 600 nt
Filed under: uncultured bacterium
Lineage: Bacteria
Description: bacterial SSU rRNA
Rfam family: Bacterial small subunit ribosomal RNA
Source: RNAcentral
AACCGGAUUAGAUACCCUGGUAGUCCACGCCCUAAACGAUGUCUACUAGUUGUCGGGUCUUAAUUGACUUGGUAACGCAGCUAACGCGUGAAGUAGACCGCCUGGGGAGUACGGUCGCAAGAUUAAAACUCAAAGGAAUUGACGGGGACCCGCACAAGCGGUGGAUGAUGUGGAUUAAUUCGAUGCAACGCGAAAAACCUUACCUACCCUUGACAUGGAAGGAAUCCUUGAGAGAUUGAGGAGUGCCCGAAAGGGAACCUUUACACAGGUGCUGCAUGGCUGUCGUCAGCUCGUGUCGUGAGAUGUUGGGUUAAGUCCCGCAACGAGCGCAACCCUUGUCAUUAGUUGCUACGCAAGAGCACUCUAAUGAGACUGCCGGUGACAAACCGGAGGAAGGUGGGGAUGACGUCAAGUCCUCAUGGCCCUUAUGGGUAGGGCUUCACACGUCAUACAAUGGUACAUACAGAGGGCCGCCAACCCGCGAGGGGGAGCUAAUCCCAGAAAGUGUAUCGUAAUCCGGAUCGUAGUCUGCAACUCGACUACGUGAAGUUGGAAUCGCUAGUAAUCGCGGAUCAGCAUGUCGCGGUGAAUACGUUCCCG